ACCUGGCUGGCUCAGCUGGUAGAGCAUGCGACUCUUGAUCUCGGGGUUGUGAGUUCAAGUCUCACAUUAGGUA
RNAcentral lists this transfer RNA (73 nucleotides) under Mustela putorius furo (domestic ferret). It matches the Rfam family "tRNA". From Rfam's summary of the family: Transfer RNA (tRNA) molecules are approximately 80 nucleotides in length. Their secondary structure includes four short double-helical elements and three loops (D, anti-codon, and T loops). Lineage: Eukaryota; Metazoa; Chordata; Mammalia; Carnivora; Mustelidae. The record is from Rfam by way of RNAcentral.